RNAcentral lists this ribosomal RNA (312 nucleotides) under uncultured eukaryote. RNAcentral's name for it is "partial 18S ribosomal RNA". It matches the Rfam family "Eukaryotic small subunit ribosomal RNA", at positions 1470 to 1796 of the family's 1831-position model. The record is from RNAcentral.
CCCUUAGAUGUUCUGGGCUGCACGCGCGCUACACUGCUGCAAUUAACGGGUUUUCUGUGCCGAAAGGCUUGGGGAAUCCUUUGAAUAUGCGGCGUGAUGGGGAUAGACUUUUGCAAUUUUUGGUCUUCAACGAGGAAUUCCUAGUAAACGCAAGUCAUCAACUUGCAUUGAUUACGUCCCUGCCCUUUGUACACACCGCCCGUCGCACCUACCGAUUGAAUGGUCCGGUGAAGCCUCCGGAUUGGCGCGCACCUCGGUGCCGCCGAGAAGUUGGCUAAACCUUACCAUUUAGAGGAAGGUGAAGUCGUAACA